CCCUUAGAUGUUCUGGGCUGCACGCGCGCUACACUGAUGCGUUCAACGAGUGUACAUCCUUGCCCGGUAGGGUUGGGUAAUCUUCUGAACACGCAUCGUGAUGGGGAUAGAUUAUUGCAAUUAUUAAUCUUCAACGAGGAAUUCCUAGUAAUGGUGAAUCAUCAGUUCAUCGUGAUUACGUCCCUGCCCUUGUACACACCGCCCGUCGCACCUACCGAUUGAAUGGUCCGGUGAAAUCUUGGGAUUUUGUUUUGUUUGCAUUUAUUUGUAUCGAGACGAGAGAACUUGAGUAAACCUUACCAUUUAGAGGAAGGUGAAGUCGUAACA
Molecule: ribosomal RNA, 327 nt
Filed under: uncultured eukaryote
Lineage: Eukaryota
Description: partial 18S ribosomal RNA
Rfam family: Eukaryotic small subunit ribosomal RNA
Source: RNAcentral